Molecule: long non-coding RNA, 508 nt
Organism: Mastomys coucha (southern multimammate mouse)
Lineage: Eukaryota; Metazoa; Chordata; Mammalia; Rodentia; Muridae
Exons: 2
Source: RefSeq, a predicted model, not a curated record
CUCAACUGAAGCUUGUGAUGCAUUAAAGCUUGUACUGCAGAAGGAUCCUAUGUGUGCCGCGUCUUUCCUGCUGGCGGGAGAUAGCGCGGAACACACAUGAAGGACUAUAACAUAAAUGUAUAAUAUGUAAUUUAUAAGUGUACAUAGACACUUAUGCAUACAUUUUAAUGAAGUUCCAUUACUUGUGAUGCUGUUCCCCUCAAGAGCCAUAGAUAAAACUCCAAUGACAGACAUAGACAAUCUCCAUCUGAAUGGCGGGUCAAGGGAGUCAAAGAGACUUCAAAAUAACACAGAUACCAUAAAAAUCUCAACCAACUGAAAAUGUCUUCCAGGUAUCCGGAUUUGAACUUCUUCACAUCAUCAAUAUCACUAAUUCUCUCUGCCUCAGGAUCAUUCUUUCCGAUCUAUUACAUCCUCAUCUUAAAAGUCUAAAUUCCAAGGAUUUUUACACGAAUCACCUCUCAAUGAGAAAGAACCCAUUUCACAAAUAAAUGAAUAUCUUUAUGAA